AGCGUACACGGUGGAUGCCCUGGCAGUCAGAGGCGAUGAAGGACGUGCUAAUCUGCGAUAAGCGCCGGUAAGGUGAUAUGAACCGUUAUAACCGGCGAUUUCCGAAUGGGGAAACCCAGUGUGACUCGUCACACUAUCAUUAACUGAAUCCAUAGGUUAAUGAGGCGAACCGGGGGAACUGAAACAUCUAAGUACCCCGAGGAAAAGAAAUCAACCGAGAUUCCCCCAGUAGCGGCGAGCGAACGGGGAGGAGCCCAGAGCCUGAAUCAGCAUGUGUGUUAGUGGAAGCGUCUGGAAAGGCGCGCGAUACAGGGUGACAGCCCCGUACACAAAAGCGCAUGUGCUGUGAGCUCGAUGAGUAGGGCGGGACACGUGGUAUCCUGUCUGAAUAUGGGGGGACCAUCCUCCAAGGCUAAAUACUCCUGACUGACCGAUAGUGAACCAGUACCGUGAGGGAAAGGCGAAAAGAACCCCGGCGAGGGGAGUGAAAAAGAACCUGAAACCGUGUACGUACAAGCAGUGGGAGCACCCUUCGGGGUGUGACUGCGUACCUUUUGUAUAAUGGGUCAGCGACUUAUAUUCUGUAGCAAGGUUAACCGAAUAGGGGAGCCGGAGGGAAACCGAGUCUUAAUUGGGCGUUAAGUUGCAGGGUAUAGACCCGAAACCCGGUGAUCUAGCCAUGGGCAGGUUGAAGGUUGGGUAACACUAACUGGAGGACCGAACCGACUAAUGUUGAAAAAUUAGCGGAUGACCUGUGGCUGGGGGUGAAAGGCCAAUCAAACCGGGAGAUAGCUGGUUCUCCCCGAAAGCUAUUUAGGUAGCGCCUCGUGAAUUCAUCUCCGGGGGUAGAGCACUGUUUCGGCUAGGGGGCCAUCCCGGCUUACCAACCCGAUGCAAACUGCGAAUACCGGAGAAUGUUAUCACGGGAGACACACGGCGGGUGCUAACGUCCGUCGUGAAGAGGGAAACAACCCAGACCGCCAGCUAAGGUCCCAAAGUCAUGGUUAAGUGGGAAACGAUGUGGGAAGGCCCAGACAGCCAGGAUGUUGGCUUAGAAGCAGCCAUCAUUUAAAGAAAGCGUAAUAGCUCACUGGUCGAGUCGGCCUGCGCGGAAGAUGUAACGGGGCUAAACCAUGCACCGAAGCUGCGGCAGCGACACUGUGUGUUGUUGGGUAGGGGAGCGUUCUGUAAGCCUGCGAAGGUGGCCUGUGAGGGUUGCUGGAGGUAUCAGAAGUGCGAAUGCUGACAUAAGUAACGAUAAAGCGGGUGAAAAGCCCGCUCGCCGGAAGACCAAGGGUUCCUGUCCAACGUUAAUCGGGGCAGGGUGAGUCGACCCCUAAGGCGAGGCCGAAAGGCGUAGUCGAUGGGAAACGGGUUAAUAUUCCCGUACUUGGUGUUACUGCGAAGGGGGGACGGAGAAGGCUAUGUUGGCCGGGCGACGGUUGUCCCGGUUUAAGCGUGUAGGUGUGUGUUCCAGGUAAAUCCGGUUCACUUUAACACUGAGGCGUGACGACGAGGCACUACGGUGCUGAAGCAACAAAUGCCCUGCUUCCAGGAAAAGCCUCUAAGCAUCAGGUAACAUCAAAUCGUACCCCAAACCGACACAGGUGGUCAGGUAGAGAAUACCAAGGCGCUUGAGAGAACUCGGGUGAAGGAACUAGGCAAAAUGGUGCCGUAACUUCGGGAGAAGGCACGCUGACAUGUAGGUGAAGUGAUUUACUCAUGGAGCUGAAGUCAGUCGAAGAUACCAGCUGGCUGCAACUGUUUAUUAAAAACACAGCACUGUGCAAACACGAAAGUGGACGUAUACGGUGUGACGCCUGCCCGGUGCCGGAAGGUUAAUUGAUGGGGUCAGCGCAAGCGAAGCUCCUGAUCGAAGCCCCGGUAAACGGCGGCCGUAACUAUAACGGUCCUAAGGUAGCGAAAUUCCUUGUCGGGUAAGUUCCGACCUGCACGAAUGGCGUAAUGAUGGCCAGGCUGUCUCCACCCGAGACUCAGUGAAAUUGAACUCGCUGUGAAGAUGCAGUGUACCCGCGGCAAGACGGAAAGACCCCGUGAACCUUUACUAUAGCUUGACACUGAACAUUGAGCCUUGAUGUGUAGGAUAGGUGGGAGGCUUUGAAGUGUGGACGCCAGUCUGCAUGGAGCCGACCUUGAAAUACCACCCUUUAAUGUUUGAUGUUCUAACGUGGACCCGUAAUCCGGGUUGCGGACAGUGUCUGGUGGGUAGUUUGACUGGGGCGGUCUCCUCCUAAAGAGUAACGGAGGAGCACGAAGGUUGGCUAAUCCUGGUCGGACAUCAGGAGGUUAGUGCAAUGGCAUAAGCCAGCUUGACUGCGAGCGUGACGGCGCGAGCAGGUGCGAAAGCAGGUCAUAGUGAUCCGGUGGUUCUGAAUGGAAGGGCCAUCGCUCAACGGAUAAAAGGUACUCCGGGGAUAACAGGCUGAUACCGCCCAAGAGUUCAUAUCGACGGCGGUGUUUGGCACCUCGAUGUCGGCUCAUCACAUCCUGGGGCUGAAGUAGGUCCCAAGGGUAUGGCUGUUCGCCAUUUAAAGUGGUACGCGAGCUGGGUUUAGAACGUCGUGAGACAGUUCGGUCCCUAUCUGCCGUGGGCGCUGGAGAACUGAGGGGGGCUGCUCCUAGUACGAGAGGACCGGAGUGGACGCAUCACUGGUGUUCGGGUUGUCAUGCCAAUGGCACUGCCCGGUAGCUAAAUGCGGAAGAGAUAAGUGCUGAAAGCAUCUAAGCACGAAACUUGCCCCGAGAUGAGUUCU
Molecule: ribosomal RNA, 2774 nt
Filed under: Salmonella enterica subsp. enterica serovar Indiana
Lineage: Bacteria; Pseudomonadati; Pseudomonadota; Gammaproteobacteria; Enterobacterales; Enterobacteriaceae
Description: bacterial LSU rRNA
Rfam family: Bacterial large subunit ribosomal RNA
Source: RNAcentral